GGGGGUGUAGCACAAGUGGUAGUGCAGCGGUCUCCAAAACCGAAGGUUGGGAGUUCGAAACUUCCCACCCCCGCCA
RNAcentral lists this transfer RNA (76 nucleotides) under Escherichia coli. RNAcentral's name for it is "tRNA-Trp". It matches the Rfam family "tRNA". Rfam says of the family: Transfer RNA (tRNA) molecules are approximately 80 nucleotides in length. Their secondary structure includes four short double-helical elements and three loops (D, anti-codon, and T loops). The record is from RNAcentral. Lineage: Bacteria; Pseudomonadati; Pseudomonadota; Gammaproteobacteria; Enterobacterales; Enterobacteriaceae.